Molecule: long non-coding RNA, 1011 nt
Organism: Haplochromis burtoni (Burton's mouthbrooder)
Lineage: Eukaryota; Metazoa; Chordata; Actinopteri; Cichliformes; Cichlidae
Exons: 4
Source: RefSeq, a predicted model, not a curated record
CCCUACAGCUAAGCUAUGCCAUUGGCUGUUAGCAUGCUAGCACAUUAGCAAAUAUUAGCAUUCCUGAAAUUACACACAACAGUGUUUUGGCGAGGUGGGCACAAACACAGCUGAACACUCCAGUUUGGAUGUCAUCCGGAACUAUUUGUGGACAAGUUCUAUUUCUGUUCUCACUUGUUGUUAGGUUACUUUGUUGUCUCACCAAAAGAGCAAUUUUUUAGCAACUGUCCACACAGGAAGCUACUUGGCGACCAGAUAUAACAGAAAGCCGAUGACAUACAGAGUCUUAAAGCUACAAAUCCACCGUGGCUCCCGAAGUGGAUGAGCUGCUCGUUGAAGAACCAGGUGAACUUGAGUUCCAGAGACGGGUCGUGGCUCACUUGGCAGGGCAGGACCACGCUCUCCCCGACGGUAACGUCCAGUGUGGAGGCCAGCGUGGUGAUGACGCCCAGACAACAUGUCUGCGCGAUGUGCCCAUUAUGCAAGGAGACAUUUUCCACCCUGGUCCUGGGAGAAUCCAGAGGAUGGGGGGUGGGGGGCAGGUAUCAAUAAUUCACAGGAGGCGAUUAUUUUGAACACGGCGAGAUGUCCGAAUGCACUCGUGUAAUCCCAAAAAACACAGGUGUGUAUUUUUUGGGGGGGAGAUCAAGCCUCAGAGGACAGGGGCUGCACAGCGUUGAUCCUCCCUGCUCUCCACCAAGAUGAAAGAGACAAAUAACAUCAGUCACAGAGCAGCUAUCACGAGGUGCUGUGAAGUGGAAAUCGCAGGAGAAGAGCCCGGUCCAAAUUGAAAGCCUUAUGUUUUGUGUUUUUUGUAUUUGUGAUUUCCUUACGUUCUCUCUGAGACGAUGUUAACAGAUGCACACUUUGCCUUUUUGCAAGCUUCCUUACCAUAAAAAAACAAACACUUGAAAGCCUUGUUUUGAUGUUUCAUUCAGACAUAUUUUUGUCUUUGAUCUGUUUGAUAAAUUCUGGAUGUCGAGAGGAAACUGUCACAAUCCAAAUAAUGAA